CAUGGCGCUGGUGGCCGACCGUUCGCUCUCUCUGCUUGGUCCAGGUUGGUGACUUGAUCCUUACACUCCAGCCUGGUGUAGCUGAUGGAUCUGGCUGAGUUUCUGCUGUGUUCUCCAUCAGGCCUCAGCUGGGGGCCUGUGGCCGGCUCUCAGAUCCUCCUCCAGCGGUCCCGAGCCCCCCCUCGGCUUCACACACAGAUAAGAAGAGUAAGGCCCAGAUAAUGAUGAGGAAUGGUGCUAUAAUGAAAUGCAAGAGUGACCAGAGAAGAGCUUGCAGGGUCUCUAAUACCAUUUACCCAUGAUGCUGCAACAUCCAGUGAGCAGCCCGUGAAUGCUGACUUCCAAUGACUCAAUCAAAUAUUGUUACUGUGCUUUGUGUGUUGCCUUCACAAUGUGUUAAGUAUGUUGGAAAAUGUAAACUAUUAUCUGUUUUCUGGACAAGUUAAAUUUCCCGUUCUGAACCCUAGAGCCUCAAUGUAGAAUAACCUGUCUUCCAACCACGUCAUCUCUUGAAUUCCCCAAGCCUUAAUCACUGCAUUCCUAGAAUUCACUCUCUUUCAGUGGCCUCGCCCUUGCCUUGCACACACAGCAGAGAGGGUGCAUGAGGGGCUCACACAUGGAGUGAGUAGAGCAGUACCACUUAUGCAAGAAAUGUGUAUCCCCGCGCCCCCCCCCCCCAAGCACAGCCUCAGACUCACCUGGAGGGCAAGAAAUGACAGAAUGGAGAGGCUCAUUAACAUUGCAGAGUGUGUAUUGAAGAAUUCACCUUACCCAAGACAGGGCUGGUCUUUACCCUGGCUGCUGGGAGAUGAUCUAGAAUGUCCUGCCUGAAGGGAUGUCUUUGUUUGCCUGGGAGCCUUGGCUACCAGACAAUCUAACACUGAUCUAUAAUGGCAGCCUUGAGCCAUGCCACACCAGUUCUGACCUGUAGAGGAACCAGAGGCUAAAUGUAUUAGCUCAACUUCCAGGAAGGCUAGAGACUAAAGGUCCAUCAUGUGGGCAGGAAAAGCUUAAGCCCCAAUAAAAUCUCUGGACACCAAAGUUUCAGGUGAGCUUCCUGGUCAGCAGUGUCCCUGUAUAAUGUCACACACUGUGGCAGGAGGAGGCCACGCUGUCCGUAAUUCCACAGGGAGACCAGAGCUCUGCAUUUGGACCCCUCCUGGGCCCUAUCCUAUAUGCCUCUUCCUUUCACGGACUUUAAUUUGGAUCCUUUCUCUGUAAUAAACUGUAACCA
Sus scrofa (pig) is the source of this 1234-nucleotide long non-coding RNA. RefSeq lists it as uncharacterized. The record is from RefSeq and is a predicted model, not a curated record. Lineage: Eukaryota; Metazoa; Chordata; Mammalia; Artiodactyla; Suidae.